CCCUUAGAUGUCCUGGGCAGCACGCGUGCUACAAUGAUGCAUUCAACGAGUCUUGCCUUAACCGAAAGGUUCGGGUAAACUUUUGAAAUUGUAUCUUGUCGGGGCUUGAUCAUUGUAAUUUUUGAUCACAAACAAGGAAUUCCUUGUAAAUGUGAGUCAUCAACUUGCAUUGAAUACGUCCCUGCCCUUUGUACACACCGCCCGUCGCUUCUACCGAUGAAUGAUCCGGUGAACACUCUGGACUUGUUGUCUGUCGGAGCAAUCCAAAGACGAUAGGGAAGUUGUGUAAACCUUAUCAUUUAGAGGAAGAAGAAGUCGUAACA
This 323-nucleotide ribosomal RNA is filed under the name uncultured eukaryote. RNAcentral's name for it is "partial 18S ribosomal RNA". It matches the Rfam family "Eukaryotic small subunit ribosomal RNA", at positions 1470 to 1796 of the family's 1831-position model. The record is from RNAcentral.